CUGGUCGACUGAGUGAUCGCGAGUACAAUGUGCUUGAGGAAAGUCCGCGCUCUAUAGGACAGCGUACCGGAUAACAUCCGGGUUAGGUAACUGACAGAAGGGUCACAGAGAUAUAUAUUGCCUAUUUAGUUUAUUUUAGGCGAGGGUGAAAUGGUGUGGUAAGAGCACACCGGUAUUUGUAGUAAUACAGGUAUCUAGACAUCCCUUACGUAGAGCAAGGCCAAGUAGGAACGAUGUGGUUGUCCGUCAC
Molecule: RNase P RNA, 250 nt
Filed under: Chloroflexota bacterium
Lineage: Bacteria; Bacillati; Chloroflexota
Description: Chloroflexi bacterium (marine metagenome) partial RNase P RNA component class A
Rfam family: Bacterial RNase P class A
About the family: Ribonuclease P (RNase P) is a ubiquitous endoribonuclease, found in archaea, bacteria and eukarya as well as chloroplasts and mitochondria. Its best characterised activity is the generation of mature 5'-ends of tRNAs by cleaving the 5'-leader elements of precursor-tRNAs.
Source: RNAcentral